AAACUAACAAGGAUUCCCCUAGUAGCGGCGAGCGAAGCGGGAAGAGCUCAAAUUUAUAAUCUGGCACCUUCGGUGUCCGAGUUGUAAUCUCUAGAAGUGUUUUCCGCGUUGGACCGCACACAAGUCUGUUGGAAUACAGCGGCAUAGUGGUGAAACCCCCGUAUAUGGUGCGGACGCCCAGCGCUUUGUGAUACACUUUCAAUGAGUCGAGUUGUUUGGGAAUGCAGCUCAAAUUGGGUGGUAAAUUCCAUCUAAAGCUAAAUAUUGGCGAGAGACCGAUAGCGAACAAGUACCGUGAGGGAAAGAUGAAAAGCACUUUGGAAAGAGAGUUAACAGUACGUGAAAUUGUUGGAAGGGAAACGCUUGAAGUCAGACUUGCUUGCCGGAGCUUGCUUCGGUUUGCAGGCCAGCAUCAGUUUUCCGGGGUGGAUAAUGACGGUUUGAAGGUAGCAGUCUCGGCUGUGUUAUAGCUUUCCGUUGGAUACAUCCUGGGGGACUGAGGAACGCAGCGUGCUUUUUGCGAAAGACUCGUCUUUUUCACGCUUAGGAUGCU
Molecule: ribosomal RNA, 553 nt
Filed under: Rhodotorula babjevae
Lineage: Eukaryota; Fungi; Basidiomycota; Microbotryomycetes; Sporidiobolales; Sporidiobolaceae
Description: eukaryotic LSU rRNA
Rfam family: Eukaryotic large subunit ribosomal RNA
Source: RNAcentral